This is a long non-coding RNA of Taeniopygia guttata (zebra finch), 5312 nucleotides long. NCBI's taxonomy places the organism in Eukaryota, Metazoa, Chordata, Aves, Passeriformes, Estrildidae. The record is from Ensembl.
GGCUUUAUUUAUUUCAGUCAAUUCAUUUGCUGUAAAAUGGAUUUGUUUCGUUUGUUUAACAGCCUGGACAGAUAGCCAUGGUUUAAAAGCCACCAUCCCACACAGACUCCCAUGGGAUGAGUUAUCCUGAGCCUGGCUGCCAGAGCCCAGGCAAACAUCUUGCACUGUGCCCUGGGGUCAGUGCAUGUGGCUGCAGGAGGCCACUGGGAGAAGAAGAAAAUUCCUGAGCUGAGGAUGUUUCACAGGGAAAGCAGAGCUUACACUCUCCAGAUGUUCCAGCUCAGGGCGUGUCAGCAAAAGCUCUCUGGCUGCUCUCAGCUGUCAAGAUAGCGCUCAGAGGAGGGGAAGAGCAAAUUCCUGCCUCACUGCUCCAAACUGGGGCGCUUGGGUUCACAGCAUCAGAGCCAACACAGGGACCCACGGCUGGAAGCAAACCUGGAAUGCACUGGCUGUGCAUUUCACAGGGGAACUCUGCUGGUUUGGUUCUCCUUCCCGAAGCCUGGCGAUGCACUACAGAGCCUCCCUCCCACAGCUCUGUGGGACAUGGAUUUCUAAGGAAUCUUUCAAACUUGAUGGAAAGUUUAUCUAGUUUUGUAUAUUUGUAUGCAAAUACUGAAAUGAGGCGCGCUGAGUUGGCUUCUGUUGGAAUGGCAUUGGUUUUAUGUCUCUUGUGUCCCGCUACUCACCGAGACUGAUAAUGGAAUCAAAUCUUUUAAAAUGCCUCUCAGUUGCCCCAUCUCUGUAAAAGCUAAGAAAACCAACACAGCUCCUUUGCAUCCCACCGUGUUCUAGCCCAGGAAAUGUUCCCUUUCCACACAGAUACACGUCCCCCUCAAAUCCCUGCUUCUGGCUGGGGUGCAGCUCCUCCAGAGGCUGCCCUGCUCCCUUUAGUUCCUGUUUCUCUCCAGGUUAUUUUCCCUUUCUUGCUUAUUUUUCAAUCUCAGGAGAGUUAUCCACAAGCUCAAGCCCCCUAUCACAUUUGUUCAAGGAACACAAAGCAGGGACCAUUUGUUCCAACUUCCCCCUGCAACAGAAAAGAAAAAAAAAUGUUGGUGAAAUAAUAUUUCUCAUGAGAUUUUGUUAACACUUUCUCCUACUGGUGCCCUGGAUACAGAGAUGGGUUUGUUGCCCCCAGCUUCCACUGUGGCUGCUGCUGCUGCAGACACUUGGGCUCUGAUCCCAGGAAUUCCAGGGGGGAGUUUCUUCAAACACUCAAGGGGACAGAGAUUCCAGUCAACACAUCCUUGUAAAUUAUUCAGUGGAAAACUGGAAGACACUUCCUGAAUGAUCCAAAUAAAAUUUUUGAGUAUUUUACCGACAGACUUUCUAGAAAGAAAAAGAAGAAAAAAAGAAAUAACACAGAUGAAAAUACAGCUCUGGGUUUGCAUAUUUACAUUAUUACAGAAUCGUGUUUGAAUAUCAGGUUGAUUAUUGCAAAACCCAGUGGGUUAUUCAUUCCUGCACCUGUUUCUGUAGCAAGCACAUUCUCCCUUGAAUCAGCACUGAUCCACCCGGCUGAUGAACACUAAGUACCAUGAAAUAUUUGGCAGUAAGAGGAAUUACUCAUGAAGACUCCGGCCUGGACAGCACUUUCAGACCCUGCUACUCCCUGUCUGCUCUGAAGUGGCCAAAAGAGAUAACGUGACUCAGGCACUGGGCGUGCCCUCCUGCCUAUCAAAAAUAACAUCUUAGUCCCUGGCCCGAGGGAGAACAAGAAGAAAAAAGGAUUUUUCUUCUCUUUUCCCUUGAGAAAAGGGAAAGAAGAAAAAAGGCUGCUAAAUGAUCCAAGUAUCCUGCACUCCUGCAACCCCAGCUGGAAAAAUGCACCUCCACAAGUCAAGGAGUUGGUAAACCGAAGAAAAUUCAGGAAAGUGCUCUGAGAGUGAAAAAGGAUUGAAAUAACAAACUUUACAGUGGAAGGAGCUCGGUCCUUUCAAGCCUAGCAAAGGGAGGGGGCUCCUGCUCCCAGUCUGUGUGCCUGAGUAGGAGCACAGGCUCGCAGACAAGGCUAUAAUGAGAUCCAGGGCUUGGGAGCUGAAUCCAGACAAAUUCAGGCUAUAAAAUAAGACACAUAUUUUUAACAUUGAGGGUAAUUAAGCAGCACAGCAACCCAGCGAGGCAUUAUGGCAAAGUCUCCUUCUUUGGAAAUCUAAAUCAGGCUCAGAUGUGUUUUCUGGGAGUCAGGCAGGAAGCAGCCUGGUGCUGGGCGUCAGCAGGAAGGUGGCCCAGAGGACCACAGUGACCCAUCUGGCAGGACCAACCAGCAGCUCCAGUUAUUCUUCAGGAACCAACCAGACCCUGCAGGGAGAAUCCAGAGAAAACUUUGCCACCAGAAGUGGGAGUUGCUGGAACAGAGAGAGUGGGAAGGUCCAGCAGAGCACAUAGGGAGAGGUACUGACUUUUGUUCAAUCAAGUGAUAUGUCUGGUCAGCUCUCACGAGCUCGUCUGGAGCUCUUCCCAGCUCUAUCCCUUCAUCUAAGAGUGUUUCAUCUCCUGCCAAAGGCAGCUUCACUCCUCCUGGAAGGUGAUUGAAGGAGCAGUCACAAGCUUGGCAUUAGGAAAUUGAAAGGGACACAGAGGCAGGCUCACAGCACAGAGGAAGCUGAAAAAUAUGGAAGGGUGAAGGACAAAUGGGACAAAGUUGAUUGAUGGGAUGAAUCCAGGGAUGUAUUUAAAUACCUAGGGAUUAGGUAUUUAUGUGACUGCAGGGUUUUGCCUCACAGUUAUGAUACAAGCACUCCUUUAGUCUGUCCCCUAAUAUACAUUAAUACAGGAUAAGAUACAGGACAGGUGAGAAAAGUGGGUGUGACCCUUAAAACAAAUAGAGUAAGUAGGUUUUAAGCAGAGCAAAGCCACGCAAAAAUAAAUUUAAAGCACAAUAUUUAAUACCAGUCCAUUUUCAAAAAAGUUUAUUUUUAUAAGUAACCCUGGUAAUAUCACAGGAUAAUUUUUAUAUUUGAGCAUUACAACUGAAAUGUUUGGACAAUCAAUAGCCAAGGUUUUAUCCAAUCAAGUAACCAAUAACAAGAUAAAUAAAUUAACCAGAUUAAGGCCUUGUUUCCCCAAAACAGAAGAAUGUGUACAAAAAAGCAUAAUUACAUGAGCUUCAUCUUCUAAGUAUUCUAAAUAAGAUGCUAACAGACCUCAGGGUCACUCAAAGCAGAAUACACAUUUUCCCAGCCCAUGCCAAAUGUGCCUUGUUGCCAGUUGGUUGCUUUCCAAAUGUGUAAUAUCAAAAAUGUAGAAAAGCUCUAAGAAUCUUCCCAAAAUGUUGGCAGUAAUGACUUCUGAAGUAUGUCCCAAUCCCCACAUUGAGUAAAAUAUCUAAAUAAAAGAUCUUAUUUACAAGCACAUGUAUUCAACAUUAAUAUAUUCCCAACUGUACUUGUACACUUACAGCAAGGUAUUUUUCCUAGAAUCCACUCUAGGCUUGCCCAUAUUUUUCUAAUAUGACCCAUAUUUGUGGCUAUAGAGGAAUUACAGGAAAUCAGAACACAGAAAUGCUUGUAUUGGAGAAAAAAAAAAAAAACAAACAAAAAAAAAGCAAACAAAAAAACCCCAAAAACCUUUUCAAUGUGUGUUUCUCAUCACACAAAAAUCCCCAGGCCUGUAAAUAAAUGAAAAAAAUCCAUCUGGAAACAAAAAAAAAUAUCUUUGUGCUGUGAAAGAGGCAGGUACUAAAUUGCCACUGACAAUUAGUCAUGAGCCUGCAGAGGAGCAGGAGAAGCUGGGGAAAUGUUGCUCUUUGUGACAGGAAGUGGAACAUUAAAAUCCAGGAAAAGCCAAAAAACCCGGGAAGCAGCUUCACUGCCUCCAGGAGAUGUGGCAGUGAGAUGUGGAGCUCGAGUCCUUCAGACACCCCCUUUCUGCAGUGCUCCAGAGUUUUGGAGGAACACACGGACCAAAAAAUCCAUCCGAUUACUUGUUUCCUCUCUUUAAGGAAGAGAAGAUACACACAUAUACACACACACACACACACACAUACACACACACACACGCACACACACGCACGCACGCACACGCACGCACAGGAAUAUUUAUCUUGGCAGGGUUUGUUUACUAAUUAUUUAUGUUGGAAACAAUGCGAUUUCUGCCAAAAAACAAAGCAAACAAACAAACAAACCAACAAACCCCCCACCAACCAAAAUACCAAAACCCAACCCACAACUAAAAAGCGACCAGAACCGAUGCCGGUUUGUGAAUGAAGCGUUUCCCAGCUCAUGGUGACAGAAGGCACAGGAGUGCCAGGAGCAUCCUUCCCUGGCACAGGUUCCCAGAGCAGCUGUGGCUGCCCCUGGAUCCCUGGAAGUGCCCAAGGCCAGGCUGGACAGGACUUGGGGCAAGCUGGGACAGUGGAAGGUGUCCCUGCUGCCCAUGUCAGGAAUGGGACUGGAUGGGCUUUAAAGUCCCUCCCCACCCAGGCCUUCCUGAUUUGAGAUGAUUUAAUUCAGACCUGAAUCCCAAAAAUGAUCAUCCUCUGCAAGAAUCCUUCUGCACACCACGUAGAAAACAAUCUGCCGAGUGGCCAUGGCGCAGUCUGUGCGUGUGUGGGUGUGUUUCUAUAUAUGUAUGUGUACAUAUAUAAAAUGGUGUUUUUAUUACUAAGAAAAUGGAACAGGUUUUUGUGCUCUCACACACAGUUUUCUGACUGAAAAGAACGCAGCCUGGGGAAUUUUGGAUGCAAGCAGGGCUGACUGCUUUUGUUGAGAGCACAGCAAAAGGUCUGAAAGUGAAUCCCAAAAAUAAAGUGGCGACAAAACCUGAUGCUGUGGGCAGUGGCAGGUGAAAGGGACAGCAGGGCACGAGGGGCAGUGAUCAUGGCUCUCUGUGUCAUGCACUGACACCGCAGUACGAAAAACCAGAGGUGAUAAAGCCUUUUUCAGUGGAAAAUAAUCUUUAGACAAGACCUCACCAUCUCAGAGCAAAGUGCUGCCAACUGCCGUUAGGAUUGUUCUCGUUUAAAAACAAACAAAUCCCCACCAACACCUAGGGAUUUUGUCCUCUGAAUCCAGGGGCACGUCAGAUCCUUCGUACUGAGCAAGGAAACAGAGUUCUUUUGUGAAGCAACGAGUUCCUGGACUUUGUUCUUGAAUCUGCGCCCCUCAUGCGCCACGAGAUCAAAGUCAUCUUUUAUCCCGUGAAUUCACAGUGGCCCAAGAUAUUUGGUGACACUCCUCAGACAGUUUCAGGGAGAGAAAAUUGUGUUUUCCCUGGUUUACCUCUCUUAGUGCGGACAUCAGGGCCAUCUCCUGGCCACUGCAGGCACUGGCGGAGCAGCAGUAAAAGAAACUUAAAAAAAAAAAAAAAAAAGU